GACGGACGCUGGCGGCGUGCCUAAUACAUGCAAGUCGAACGCUUCUUUCCUCCCGAGUGCUUGCACUCAAUUGGAAAGAGGAGUGGCGGACGGGUGAGUAACACGUGGGUAACCUACCCAUCAGAGGGGGAUAACACUUGGAAACAGGUGCUAAUACCGCAUAACAGUUUAUGCCGCAUGGCAUAAGAGUGAAAGGCGCUUUCGGGUGUCGCUGAUGGAUGGACCCGCGGUGCAUUAGCUAGUUGGUGAGGUAACGGCUCACCAAGGCCACGAUGCAUAGCCGACCUGAGAGGGUGAUCGGCCACACUGGGACUGAGACACGGCCCAGACUCCUACAGGAGGCAGCAGUAGGGAAUCUUCGGCAAUGGACGAAAGUCUGACCGAGCAACGCCGCGUGAGUGAAGAAGGUUUUCGGAUCGUAAAACUCUGUUGUUAGAGAAGAACAAGGACGUUAGUAACUGAACGUCCCCUGACGGUAUCUAACCAGAAAGCCACGGCUAACUACGUG
This 508-nucleotide ribosomal RNA is filed under the name uncultured bacterium. RNAcentral's name for it is "partial 16S ribosomal RNA". It matches the Rfam family "Bacterial small subunit ribosomal RNA", at positions 28 to 507 of the family's 1533-position model. The record is from RNAcentral.